RNAcentral lists this ribosomal RNA (1454 nucleotides) under uncultured organism. Its description in RNAcentral is "SSU rRNA". It matches the Rfam family "Bacterial small subunit ribosomal RNA". The record is from RNAcentral.
GGAUGAACGCUAGCUACGGGCUUAACACAUGCAAGUCGAGGGGCAGCAUGGUCUUAGCUUGCUAAGGCCGAUGGCGACCGGCGCACGGGUGAGUAACGCGUAUCCAACCUGCCUUACACUCUUGGACAGCCUUCUGAAAGGGAGAUUAAUACAAGAUGUUAUCAUGAGUAAGCAUUUUCGCAUGAUUAAAGGUUUACCGGUGUAAGAUGGGGAUGCGUUCCAUUAGAUAGUAGGCGGGGUAACGGCCCACCUAGUCUUCGAUGGAUAGGGGUUCUGAGAGGAAGGUCCCCCACAUUGGAACUGAGACACGGUCCAAACUCCUACGGGAGGCAGCAGUGAGGAAUAUUGGUCAAUGGACGAGAGUCUGAACCAGCCAAGUAGCGUGAAGGAUGAAGGUUCUAUGGAUUGUAAACUUCUUUUAUACGGGAAUAAACGAAUCCACGUGUGGAUUUUUGCAUGUACCGUAUGAAUAAGGAUCGGCUAACUCCGUGCCAGCAGCCGCGGUAAUACGGAGGAUCCGAGCGUUAUCCGGAUUUAUUGGGUUUAAAGGGAGCGUAGAUGGGUUGUUAAGUCAGUUGUGAAAGUUUGCGGCUCAACCGUAAAAUUGCAAUUGAUACUGGCAGUCUUGAGUACAGUUGAGGUAGGCGGAAUUCGUGGUGUAGCGGUGAAAUGCUUAGAUAUCACGAAGAACUCCGAUUGCGAAGGCAGCUUACUAACCUGUAACUGACAUUGAUGCUCGAAAGUGUGGGUAUCAAACAGGAUUAGGUACCCUGGUAGUCCACACGGUAAACGAUGAAUACUCGCUGUAGGCGAUAUACAGUCUGCGGCCAAGCGAAAGCAUUAAGUAUUCCACCUGGGGAGUACGCCGGCAACGGUGAAACUCAAAGGAAUUGACGGGGGCCCGCACAAGCGGAGGAACAUGUGGUUUAAUUCGAUGAUACGCGAGGAACCUUACCCGGGCUUAAAUUGCAACCGAAUAUGGCGGAAACGCUAUAGCUAGCAAUAGCGGUUGUGAAGGUGCUGCAUGGUUGUCGUCAGCUCGUGCCGUGAGGUGUCGGCUUAAGUGCCAUAACGAGCGCAACCCUUGCCGAUAGUUACUAACAGGUCAUGCUGAGGACUCUGUCGGGACUGCCAUCGUAAGAUGUGAGGAAGGUGGGGAUGACGUCAAAUCAGCACGGCCCUUACGUCCGGGGCUACACACGUGUUACAAUGGGGGGUACAGAGGGCUGCUACCACGCAAGUGGAUGCCAAUCCCAAAAACCUCUCUCAGUUCGGAUUGAAGUCUGCAACCCGACUUCAUGAAGCUGGAUUCGCUAGUAAUCGCGCAUCAGCCACGGCGCGGUGAAUACGUUCCCGGGCCUUGUACACACCGCCCGUCAAGCCAUGGGAGCCGGGGGUACCUGAAGUGCGUAACCGCAAGGAGCGCCCUAGGGUAAAACUGGUGACUGGGGCUA